AUGGUACAUGAGCUUAUUGAUCCGGCUACUGGACAUUGGGACGAGACAUUAAUUAGAGAUAUUUUUUGGGGAGUGGAUGCAGAUAGAAUCCUUCAAAUCCCAUUGUCAAGUGGAGAUAUGGAAGAUUUCGUUGCUUGGCAAUAUACAAAGUCACAUAAUUUUACUGUACGAUCAGCCUGCUACAUUGAGUGGAACCGUAGGUAUGGCAGAAAGUUUGAAGGAAGUAACAUACAAGGUGGUUCGGCUGCUAACCCAGUUUGUAGAAUAAUAUGGAAAUUGAAAAUCCCAGGGAAAGUCAAGGUUCAUAUGUGGCGAACGCUACAUGGUGCUAUUCCAUGUAAAUCUAUUCUUGCUAACAAGCAUAUGAAAAUUCAUACUGCAUGUCCUGUGUGCCAGGUGUAUACUGAAGACAUUCGGCAUGCUUUAUUUGAAUGUGGCCGAGCGCAGAUGAUUUGAGAAAAUCUAGGUUUAUUGGAAAAAGUUGAGAGAUCUCUGAAUGUUGAUAGGGCCGGUUCGGCUGUACUGGAGGAGUUGAUUUGUACUUUGAUUGAUGACCCACUAUAUCUUGCUCAAAUCCCUGCAUCGUGUUUGAUUGCGGUGGCUACUUGGUUCCUUUGGUGGGAAAGGAGACAGUGUGCAAAAGGAGAAAAGAUACCUGAACCUGAAUCCGCCCUAUCAAUACAAGCUCUUACUCUUAACUUUUAUCGGGCGGGCACUGUUCAACAUCCGGCAAGAGAGGUAAUGUGGGCUAAACCACCGCAGGGUACAGUCAAGUUGAAUAUAGAUGCAUCAUUUGAGUAUGAAGGGAGUACUGCUUCCAUUGGCGCGAUCUUGAGAGAUGAUGUUGGCCAUUUUAUUGCAGCUGAGGUCUUCUAUAUGGGUAAAACAAUUGAUGCAUAUACAUCAGAAGCUAUGACUAUGAAGAAGGGUCUGCAACUUGCAGAUUCUCUGAGUAUUCAUAAACUGCUCGUUCACACUGAUUAUGCAGAAUUGGUCAAGGAGAUUAAUCAAGGAGCAGUUAAUUCAGUAGCAGACCCCUAUUCUUAA
RNAcentral lists this ribosomal RNA (1047 nucleotides) under Triticum aestivum (bread wheat). RNAcentral's name for it is "partial small subunit ribosomal RNA". Lineage: Eukaryota; Viridiplantae; Streptophyta; Magnoliopsida; Poales; Poaceae. The record is from RNAcentral.